UACAGAGGUCUCAAGCGUUGUUCGGAUUCAUUGGGCGUAAAGGGUGCGUAGGCGGCGCGGUAAGUCGGGUGUGAAAUCUCGGAGCUUAACUCCGAAACUGCAUUCGAUACUGCCGUGCUUGAGGACUGGAGAGGAGACUGGAAUUUACGGUGUAGCGGUGAAAUGCGUAGAUAUCGUAAGGAAGACCAAUAGCGAAGGCAGCUCGCUGGGACGGUACUGACGCUAAGGCGCGAAAGCGUGGGGAGCGAACAGG
Molecule: ribosomal RNA, 253 nt
Filed under: uncultured bacterium
Lineage: Bacteria
Description: partial 16S ribosomal RNA
Rfam family: Bacterial small subunit ribosomal RNA
Source: RNAcentral